RNAcentral lists this transfer RNA (68 nucleotides) under Myrmecophaga tridactyla (giant anteater). RNAcentral describes it as "tRNA-Lys". Lineage: Eukaryota; Metazoa; Chordata; Mammalia; Pilosa; Myrmecophagidae. The record is from RNAcentral.
CAUUAAAGAAGCUAAACUAGCAUUAACCUUUUAAGUUAAAGACUGGGAACCUAACUUCCCCUUAAUGA